GAAUAUUUAGAUUUUUUUGUCACGAAUUGCGCCAUGCGCACGACCCUUCUUUACCAUUCGGAUAGUGUCUGGGACGCACUAACAAAAUGCCGCUAUUCGGAUAUAACGAUGGAUUAUUUUGGACCAAACCAACAUUUGUUAUUGAAGUAGCAGUCCUGGGAGUGCAUUCUGACGAAGACAACAAAAGGUUAUCAGCUGUGUCGGUGAACCCCUCCUGCAUCUGAACUAUCUACAUACAGUGGGGGGGGGACAGUAUUUGAUCCCCUGCUGAUUUUAUAUGUUUUGAUGUGAGAGGAUGCCAACCCCCCAGUCCCACCAUCGCCACCUCACCCGCUUUUAAGAUAACCUUCGGGCUGACUAGAGAUUUUGUAAAUGUGAUGAACUGAGAGAAUAUUUGGGUGUGAUUCAUUAAUCAUAUGCUGCCUUCCCUGCUCCUAUGUUCUUACCUCUUUCCCUGUCUGUCUUUUACACCUCUCUUGCCACCUCUUUCUUCCGGUUUUUAUAAUGCACAACAGAAGUACAGAUUGAACUUGUAUUUAUAAUAUUACAAUUAUAAUAUUUAUAAUGCAUGUAUUCAUAACACUUGAAUAAUGAACUUUCAAUAAGGUGUUUCACAUUCUCUACUGGUUGAAAUUAAGUCUAAUUUGAUGAAAUACUACACCUUUCCUGUUUAUCAGAUCAAUGCAGAUGAAGGGCAUUAGAUAUUGAGAUGAACCGGUUUUAGAGUAUUUACAUGAUAGGAAGUGUAGUGUACUGUUUUUUAAAAUUAUAUUUCUGUAUAUAUGAAUUACAAAUCAGCCAUUAACUAGUAAAAUCCUGUUUCUAGUCUAUUAGUUACAAUGUGUAACCAUUGAUGUCCCAGGACCAAAUUGGUAAACACUGUUGAAGUGUAUAAUUGUAAUACAUACAUGCAGACACAGCAUCAUACAAAGACUGGAAGACUGAGGUUCAUAGCUAGGCUCUGAACUAAUAUGUAUACCAAACAUGUGGGUCCAUACACAGAUCAGCUAGAUAGCUAGCUACACAUCCAUAGGCAUACAGGUAUUUUUAUCUGCCACUGCACAAUAAGCAAGAACAUAGCUAGCUACGUUAUUUAAUCUAUCUGCAUUGCAUAGCAAAUAUCAGCAAGGCAAGCUUACAAACUUGUACAUUCAAUUUGCAGUAAAUGCUUUAGCUAGCAAGAUUCUUUAGAUCCACUGUUUCACAAGAUGACAGCCUGGUUUGCUGGUUGUUUCAGGAGUCCCUAAAACAUGAAACAACCAGAAUUACAAUUUCAUACUCAUGUCACAACACCCAUAAAGCUAGC
Molecule: long non-coding RNA, 1306 nt
Filed under: Salmo salar (Atlantic salmon)
Lineage: Eukaryota; Metazoa; Chordata; Actinopteri; Salmoniformes; Salmonidae
Description: lncRNA (ENSSSAG00000111149.1)
Source: RNAcentral